Molecule: ribosomal RNA, 585 nt
Filed under: Ustilaginomycotina sp. CLIB 3031
Lineage: Eukaryota; Fungi; Basidiomycota
Description: eukaryotic LSU rRNA
Rfam family: Eukaryotic large subunit ribosomal RNA
Source: RNAcentral
AUUCCCCUAGUAACGGCGAGUGAAGAGGGAAGAGCCCAAGUUUGAAAGCUGGCGCUUGUAUUCAGGCGUCCGCGUUGUAAACUCGAGAAGCGUUUUCCGCGCUGGACCAGAUUCAAGUCCCUUGGAAUAGGGCAUCAUAGAGGGUGAAAAUCCCGUGCUUGAUCUGGAAGCCCAGUGCUUUGUGAUACGCUCUCCAAGAGUCGAGUUGUUUGGGAAUGCAGCUCAAAAUGGGUGGUAAAUGCCAUCUAAGGCUAAAUAUCGAGGAGAGACCGAUAGCGAACAAGUACCGUGAGGGAAAGAUGAAAAGAACUUUGGAAAGAGAGUUAAACAGUACGUGAAAUUGCCGGAAGGGAAGGGUAGGAAGUCAGACAUGCUUGUGUGGAUUCAGCCUUGUCUUUGGACAUGGUGUAUUUCCGCAUAGGCAGGCCAGCAUCGGUUUGUGUCGCUGGAUAUAGGCUUUGGGGAUGUGGCUUUACCUUCGGGUAGAGUGUUAUAACCCAUUGCUGAGUACAGCGACGUGGACCGAGGAACGCAGCGCACCCUCUGGGCGGGCCUUCGGGCACCUUUGCGCUUAGGAUGCUGGCU